AACAUUCAACCUGGCACCACUGACGCAAUCGUUUCAUUUUUGUUUUGAUGCGCCGGGAGAGUCAUUGUCGUUGCCUAAUCUAUAGAUUAACUCCUUUGCUGGGCAACCAAAAUCUCCGGCAAACCCUUCGCUGACCGCGUGCCAGUUGGCAUAGUUUUAACCGAUUUCGGACUCUCGAAGCAACCCCUGGACGGAUCCAAAACGUACAGCUUCUGCGGCACCGUCGAGUACAUGGCCCCCAAGGUCGUCAACCGAAAGGGUCACACCUUCGCCGCAGACUGGUGGUCCUUUGGGGUUUUUAAUGUUUGAGAUGCUGACGGGCAACCUUCCCUUCCACGGUAGCAAUCGUAACGAUACGAUGAACGAGAUCCUGAAAACCAAACUUGGGAUUCCAGAAAAUCUGAGCCCGGAGGCUCAGAGUUUGUUGCGGGCCCUGUCAAACGCAAUCCCCAGAAACGGUUGGGAGUUGGCCCAAACGGGACGCGUUCGAGCGGAAGGAGGUGCGACCCCCUUUCAUUCCGGCCGUUUCCCGCGACGAUGCGUUUUACUUUGAAACGGAGUACACCAACAAAUCGCCCAAAGAUUCCCCCGGUGGUCCGGUUAGUGCGAGUGCCCAUGAGAUCUUCCGCGGAUUCAGUUUUAUAGCGCCAUGUUUGCUGGACGACAUUCAGAAUCAGAUGGGUCCCAGGGCACCGUUUACGAACGAAAUUCCUGGCGUCAAACCGGUCGCCUUUGCCGAUGAGUACGCAAUGAUGCAGGAGCUGGGCGGGGAACGUUCUCCGUUUGUCGGUUGUGUGAGAAUCGUACCACCAAGAAGCAUUACGCCGUUAAGAUAAUCGACAAAUACGGUCACGAUUGUCGAGAGGAAGUGGAAAUUCUACUGAGAUACGGCAAUCAUCCGAACAUCGUGUCUCUGUUCAGUUUCCACGAGGACCCCACUUAUGUGUACCUGGUAAUGGAGUUGCUAAAGGGAGGGGAGCUGCUGGAUCGAAUCUUGUCUAUUCAAUAUAUGUCGGAGGUUGAGGCCAGUGCAGUCCUUAAAACGGUCGUAUCGGCCGUUGCUAAAUAAA
Molecule: long non-coding RNA, 1070 nt
Organism: Uranotaenia lowii
Lineage: Eukaryota; Metazoa; Arthropoda; Insecta; Diptera; Culicidae
Exons: 4
Source: RefSeq, a predicted model, not a curated record